RNAcentral lists this RNase P RNA (330 nucleotides) under pig gut metagenome. RNAcentral describes it as "Bacterial RNase P class A". It matches the Rfam family "Bacterial RNase P class A". Rfam says of the family: Ribonuclease P (RNase P) is a ubiquitous endoribonuclease, found in archaea, bacteria and eukarya as well as chloroplasts and mitochondria. Its best characterised activity is the generation of mature 5'-ends of tRNAs by cleaving the 5'-leader elements of precursor-tRNAs. The record is from RNAcentral.
CCGCGGGGCACGAGAGUGUCAUGAGGAAAGUCCGAGCAUCACAGAGCAGGAUAGCUGAUAACGUCAGCCGAGGGCGACCUUAGGGCAAGUGCAACAGAAAUAUACCGCAGGCUCACUUUGUGGGCGCUGUAAGGGUGGAAAGGCGAGGUAAGAGCUCACCGGAGCGCAGGAGACUGCGCUGCCAUGUAAACCCUAUCCGAUGCAACACCGAUUGGUGCGGAGAGCAACGCGUCUGCUCGGCGCGCUUCGUUGAAAGGUGGCUUGAUCCCGCCGGCGACGGCGGGGCUAGAUAGAUGGUCAUACGCGACAGAACUCGGCUUAUCGAUGAAG